Molecule: long non-coding RNA, 3449 nt
Filed under: Olea europaea subsp. europaea
Lineage: Eukaryota; Viridiplantae; Streptophyta; Magnoliopsida; Lamiales; Oleaceae
Source: RNAcentral
CAACAUUCAUACAAAGAUACAAACAGCACUCGGCAGCUAUAGACAGAUAAACAGAACGACGACCGACAAUUGGAAAAGAAAAUCGUCCAGAUUUCUGUACAAAACUCCAACGGAGAAGUCAGUUUUUGUGCAAUACCGCAGUAAUCUGGGAGGAGGAGUGGAUUCGGCUCAUGAAACACAUCUAUCAGGCAAAGCUCUUUGGUGUUGGCAUUUGCAGAGAAGGGGAUUUCAUCUCUUUUCAGUUUCUAUUUGACUUUCUCAAGUAAUUGGUGUUGGUUCCAUUUUUUCGACAAGCUUCAACUAAGGUACUCCAUCUCGCAUUGUUGUGUAGAUAGUAUAUGUGAUUAUAGCAAAUGUGUUUGCUUCUAAAUUAUUAUUUGAUUUUUUAUUAAUUGAGUUAUUGCUGGGAAUUGAAUUCUUGAAUUCCUGAGGUUUCAGGGAAUUGAAUUCUUGAAUUCCUGAGGUUUCAGGGAAUUGAAUUCUUGAAUUUCAUAUGGUUGGAAAUCAAAUUCUUGAGGUUUCAGGAAAAUAGUGAAUUCCCCCUAACAUAUGAAGAAAGCAAAAGUCAUCGUGCACUUGUAAAUAAUAGUUAGAUUUCCACUGGAGACUAAUUUUACCAAUAGAAACCCGAAGAAGAAAACAGAAGCUAUGCGUUAACCAUUGGCUUUUUUUGCCUUAUUACAACCAGUGUACUGGACUAGUUAGAUUCUGAACACUGGCUAAUUUAGAACUUGAAUGACAAAUUGAAAACAAGAACUGAAACAUAUCUCAAUAUUCAAUAGGCAGAAACAGAAAGAGUUGAAAGGAAGCUUCUUAUUUGUUUAAUUUAUUGUAUAAAUACAUAGACAUACAAGUUGGAUUUUGAUUCUCAUACUAUAUAGCAGUAAUGUCCUUUUGUUUUUGUUUUAAAAUGUGUUGAAAGGAAAAUUAGUAAUAGUAGUGAGGUUUACAUUAUUAACAAAUUGAGAUAUGAGGUGCAUCUAUUAAUAUAUUUUGAAAUAUUGCAACUGUUCAAUAACAUAUGUAAACAUUUACUUUCACAUUUACAGAAAAUAUUGAUUCUGAUCUAACAGACGAUGUAAUAAUGUUUUGUUAACAGAGAAAAAUGAGUUGUCAGGACGAUGACAUGCUACUGUUCCCAAAUUCUAUUAAGGUUCUUGAAAGUUUCCAAUAGUAUGCUAAUUCUAGUACUUUAAGGUACAACUUUUGUGGAUAAGGAGAGCAGAUGCGACUGCUGUUUGAUUAAUCUCCUGUUCUUGGCAUUUAGAUUUCCCCCAUGAAGGGAUAAGACACUGCUAGAGAACAAUUAUGUGUCCACAUGCAAAACUAUUUUAUUUGGAGAUUAUGUGGUUGAAACAAGUUCGGGAAAAAUAAAUUUUAGAAAAUAGGAGUCCAACAGGGCAUAAAUAAGAUGACAUCAACUACAAGUCAUAACAAAAGAUGAACUAGAUUAUAAGUUGUAAAUAUGAUACGUGAUUUAGCUAAUUAUGAUCCUUGUGUCUACACAAUUUUACAAGUAUCUGAACCUCCUCAACACUAUGUAGGAUGUAUGAGAUAUUGUUUUCUGGUGUCUUGUUUCCCUUUAGUGUAAAUUUUUAGUAAAUAAGAUAUGACAUUGUGCACAGAGUUAACCGAGGAGAGAACAAUAAAUGCCCAUUUAUAGAAGUAGAAUAGCAUUAUAGGAAAGCUUAAAAAAGUAAAACUGAAAAGAAGGUCGUGGCCAUAAAUCAUUAUUUUUUACCCAAAUGGGAGGAGUGUUUGUUGCAUUUGCAACGAGGAAAGACAUUGCAAUAUCUUCACAAUUUAAAGUACAAAUUCAGGUGUUUUUGUGAAAGAAAGCAGCUUUAGAGAGAACCAUGUUGUAUGUACGAGAUCCAGGUUACAACCCUCAAGCAAAUUGACAAUAUCGCUCUUUGCCGUGUGCUUUGUGAUACCACCUAGUCUCCCAUAAACUAAACCUGUUAAAAGAACAGAGUACAAGUCUCACAAACUUAGAAUGGUAAAACUCCAUCAGCUCUGAUUUCAUUUUAAAAAAAAAAAAUUAUCAGAGCACGAAUUAUCAGAGCUUUUUUUUUUUGUCAGGGGAAAAAAUACAAAGUCUAGGCAUAAAACACAGUUUUAAUUCCCCUCUAUGAUUCUUUCUGCAAUUCUUGUUUAUUCAUUACUUUGUUUUAGAUCCCAGGCAUUUAUUUUAUUCUUUUAAAAUUUUUCAUAUUAUAAAAAAUAAAGCAAUAACUUCCUUUGUAUUGCUUGGAGGGGAUUGUUUCUAUAUAUUUAGAUAUGGAUACAUCUGGCACACUGCUAUUAUUAUUGCUGGGUUGUAUAUUUGCUAUUUUUCUAAAAAUUACUAACUACAUAUCAUGUAUGGUCUAGGUGAAUAAACUGAUAUACAUGAUGGAUAGGAGUUGGAUGCGACUUCGUAAUAGAUUAAAUGAAGAAUAUUUAGACGGUAUUAAUUCAUUUAUGGAGGUAGCCAAACAAUGUCUGGAUGAGAACAAUGAGGUUCGCUGUCCAUGUCGAAAUUGUCAAAAGACAUUCUUUCAGUCACUAGAUGUGGCAAAAUCUCACUUAUACCACUCUAGAAUCUCCGCAAGUUACGAGAGAUGGAUUUUUCAUGGAGAGGAACUUGAGAAUAAUAUGUAGGGUGUUGAAAGAAAUUCAUUUGAAUUGGACGAAGAAGAAAAGGAUGAUGAGAUGAAUGAUAUGUUAGAAGAUCUAUGCGCUCCCAUGUCAUCUAAAGCUAACCAAACUCGGGAGGAGGAAGAACAUGGAGGAAAUCAUAAUUUCUCGCCUCAAAUGCCUAAUGAAGAUAGCAACCAGUUCGUGGAGAUGAUAACUGAAGCUCAAUGAACUUUGUUUCCCGACUUUGAAAUGUCAUUAUUGAACUUUAUGGUGAUAUUGAUAUCGGUAAGUAAAACGUCCUUUAUAUAUAUAUAUAGGUUUUUUUUUUUGGCGUAAUGUUUUUCUAAUUUAUUUUUUAAUUACUAUCUACAUUUUUUCCUUUCCUUUGUAGAUUCGAGUUCUGACGAUGUAUCAUCCGAGAGUUGAUAAUAAUUUUUAUUCACAUUUAAGGUUAGAGUAAUCGACCAAUGAAAUAUAUUUGAUUACUUAUUGUAAUGGUUGUUGAUCUUGUGCUAAUAUUCAAUGUGAGAUAUUUGAAAUAUUUUCUUCAAGCUAAUAUUUCAUUACCUUCUACAUGUACAUGUUUGACUAAAUUUGUGGUGCUUUUUCUUUAUAGGAAUUCUCAUUUAACCAAAGAACAUGUUGAUGAUGAGUUGGAAGCAUAUCUUGGAGUCAAGAAUGUUUUUUGGGUGUCCAGUGAGUUUUUUUGUUAUUUCUUCCACAUUUCUAGUUCUAUUUUCUAAUUUUCAAAUUUGUUGAGUCAUUCAAAGUAGUUCGACCUUGAAAUCACUAGUACUAUAGUUUAUUCGUAUUUGUUUUGAUUUUGG